Salmonella enterica subsp. enterica serovar Enteritidis is the source of this 162-nucleotide non-coding RNA. The record is from Rfam. NCBI's taxonomy places the organism in Bacteria, Pseudomonadati, Pseudomonadota, Gammaproteobacteria, Enterobacterales, Enterobacteriaceae.
AAAACACAAAGGCAUCCGUAUAAUCUGAAAAUAACGCAGAGUGAUUUUCUGGUUAUUGCUUAUUUUAGGAUUAAGCUCAAUAUAAAAUUGUGGGGGUAAAGACGGACAAGCGGAAUUAUCUUAUAAAAAAAGCCGAUGUGAAUAUCGGCCUUUUUAUUAUCU